This 215-nucleotide ribosomal RNA is filed under the name Campeiostachys nutans. RNAcentral's name for it is "Elymus nutans partial small subunit ribosomal RNA". The stretch from base 46 to 215 matches the Rfam family "Eukaryotic small subunit ribosomal RNA", at positions 693 to 864 of the family's 1831-position model. The record is from RNAcentral. Lineage: Eukaryota; Viridiplantae; Streptophyta; Magnoliopsida; Poales; Poaceae.
AGACCGGUCUACUGGUCGUGCUUUUGUACGUACUGGUUUUAUUGGUUUCUCCUUUCUGACGAACGAUAAUGCCAUUAAUUUGGUGUUUUGGGGAAUCAGGACUGUUACUUUGAAAAAUUUAGAGUGUUUAAAGCAGGCUCACGCUUGAAUACAUUAGCAUGGAAUAACGGAAUAGGACGUUUGAUUUUAUUUUGUUGGUUUCUAGGAUCGACGUA